This 486-nucleotide ribosomal RNA is filed under the name uncultured bacterium. RNAcentral's name for it is "partial 16S ribosomal RNA". It matches the Rfam family "Bacterial small subunit ribosomal RNA", at positions 30 to 507 of the family's 1533-position model. The record is from RNAcentral.
AUUGAACGCUGGCGGCAUGCCUUACACAUGCAAGUCGAACGGCAGCACGGGUGCUUGCACCUGGUGGCGAGUGGCGAACGGGUGAGUAAUACAUCGGAACAUGUCCUGUAGUGGGGGAUAGCCCGGCGAAAGCCGGAUUAAUACCGCAUACGAUCUACGGAUGAAGGCGGUGGACCUUCGGGCCUCGCGCUAUAGGGUUGGCCGAUGGCUGAUUAGCUAGUUGGUGGGGUAAAGGCCUACCAAGGCGACGAUCAGUAGCUGGUCUGAGAGGACGACCAGCCACACUGGGACUGAGACACGGCCCAGACUCCUACGGGAGGCAGCAGUGGGGAAUUUUGGACAAUGGGCGAAAGCCUGAUCCAGCAAUGCCGCGUGUGUGAAGAAGGCCUUCGGGUUGUAAAGCACUUUUGUCCGGAAAGAAAUCCUUGGCUCUAAUACAGUCGGGGGAUGACGGUACCGGAAGAAUAAGCACCGGCUAACUACGUG